AUGGGGCGCGCGCCGUGCUGCGACAAGGCGAGCGUGAAGAGGGGCCCGUGGGCGCCGGAGGAGGACGAGCUGCUGCGGAGCUACGUCCGGAGCCACGGCGCCGUCGGCAACUGGAUCGCGCUCCCGCAGAAAGCAGGGCUUAACCGGUGCGGCAAGAGCUGCCGGCUGAGGUGGCUCAACUACCUCCGGCCGGACAUCAAGCACGGCGGCUACACCGAGCAGGAGGACAUGGUCAUCUGCUCCCUCUACAACUCCAUCGGAAGCAGGUAA
RNAcentral lists this ribosomal RNA (270 nucleotides) under Triticum aestivum (bread wheat). RNAcentral describes it as "partial small subunit ribosomal RNA". Lineage: Eukaryota; Viridiplantae; Streptophyta; Magnoliopsida; Poales; Poaceae. The record is from RNAcentral.